GAGAGAGAGAGAGAGAGAGAGAGGGAUUUUUCGUUUUAAUUGAAUAUCUGUAUUGGUUAGAAAUAAGAAUAUGGGAAUUAGCAUAAAAUCCCCUUGUGCUUAGCUGUGGAGGGAAACGAGGGAGCUAAGGAAGAGCUUUUUCUUUUAUUUAUUAUUAUCUCCAUUAGAGAGAUUCCAAUGGCCAUAGGAUAGGACGAGAAUCACGAGUCUUCCAUCUG
This 218-nucleotide unclassified non-coding RNA is filed under the name Hevea brasiliensis (rubber tree). The record is from RNAcentral. Lineage: Eukaryota; Viridiplantae; Streptophyta; Magnoliopsida; Malpighiales; Euphorbiaceae.